UUCUAUUUGAUUAGUUUACAAAUAGUAUAGCCUGCUCAAUGAUUUAUUGUUAAAUAGCCGCGAUUAUUAUCGUGCAAAGGUAGCAUAAUAACUUGUCCUUUAAUUGAGGUCUAGAAUGAAAGGUUGAACGAUGAAUUAACUUUUUUAAUUUGAAUAUUAAGAAUUUUAUUUUUUGGUUAAAAAUCCAAAAUUUAUUUAUGGGACGAUAAGACCCUAUAGAAUUUAAGUAUUUUUAUUUAAAUAUUUUAUUUUGAUUGUUAAUUAAUCUGUAUAAAUAUAAUACUUUAGUUGGGGUGACUUUUAUAUAAAAUUAACUAUAAUUUUUAUUUUUCAUUAAUUAAUGAAUUAAUGAUCCUAAAUUUUAGAUUAUAAGAUUAAAUUACCUUAGGGAUAACAGCGUAAUUUUCUUGGUAAGUUCUUAUUAAUAGGAAAGAUUGCGA
RNAcentral lists this ribosomal RNA (440 nucleotides) under Dictyla sp. MNHN EH16826. RNAcentral describes it as "partial 16S ribosomal RNA". Lineage: Eukaryota; Metazoa; Arthropoda; Insecta; Hemiptera; Tingidae. The record is from RNAcentral.